CCACCAACUCAUGCAUUUACAACAAGAUGCUAUUUCUUUAAAACCAAAAAAGGGUAAGUUAUUCCUCGUUUUGGUAAAACUCAUGCAUCAAACAGUAAAACGUAUAAAAUCCUUAAGAAGAAAAACGUACAUGCGGUGGAGUAAAUGAUAAAGUAAGUAACCAACAACUUUUCUUUUGUUAAAUGUGACAACAAACCUUUGUCUUUCGAAGAAAUUAUAAAGAAAAAGCAAAAGGUUGAACUAAUAAUUCAGGAAAUUUCUUUUAUUUCUUAAAUAGCUAGCGCAACGAGCACUCUUACAUAAGUAGUCUUUAAUUUAAUGAUAUCUUUGUUUAGCUAGACAUUCAAAGACCAAUUCAUAGGAAUGCAACAUUCGGACUUCAUGGUGGGUGGAAUAUCUUGUUUACCAGUAUAAUACAUCCAACUAAAGAAUUUCAUGUGAAAUUGCACCAACUUUACUAUUAUGAUUGAGCUAAGAACUAUGUGCAGAGAGGACACGAUAUAGUGUCCUAUUGUUUCCCUUAAUCUAAUAAUAUUUAGCUAGACGUUUAAAGACUGACUCAUAUGAAUGUAACCUUCAAACUUUGUUUUUAGUGGAUUAUUUUGUUUGCGUGAAUCAUAUGUCGAACAAAGAAUUUCAUGUAUAAUUGCUCUCCAACUUUACUAUUGUGAUUGAGCUAAGAAUUAUGUGUAGAGAGGACACGAUAUAGUGUCCUAUUGUUUCCCUUAAUCUAAUAAUAUUUAGCUAGACGUUCAAAGACUGACUCAUAUGAAUGCGACCUUCAAACUUUGUCGUGGGUGGAUUAUCUUGUUUACGUGUAUCAUAUGUCGAACAAAGAAUUCAUGUGAAUUGCUCCAACUUUAUUAUUGUGAUUUAGCUAAGAAUUACGUGUCGGGAGGACACAAUAUAGUUUCCUAAUUUUGUUUUCUUUAAUCUAAUAAUAGUUUUCUUUAUUAGCUAGACGUUCAAAGACCAACUCAUAUGAAUGCAACAGUCAAACUUUGUUGUGUGUGGAUUAUCUUGUUUGCAUGUAUCAUACGUCGAACGAAGAACUUCAUGCGAAAUUGCUUUGACUUUAUUACAGAGAUAAAUGUUUUCAAAGGCAUGUGUAGGUGUGUGUUGGAGCUAGGCGAGAGCAAAUUGCCUCAGUAUUUAUAAUAAAUAAAGUUUUCCGUGAGUUCAGUACACGCGGAGGUCAUUUUUGCAACAUCAACUUAAAAAGUGGGACCAAUUUUUACCACAUCGGCAGUUAACAGAAUUCUUAAUGGUCUUGUUAACGGAGGGGCUUGGAUGUAGGAUUUCUGUGAGUUUGGGUAUGAGUUUGCAGGGUCUUCAAAACUUGGGUGCCAACGUGAAAUAACCCCCAAAGUGCAAGGGGUUUUAUGUAGUUGAUCCUUUUAAUUAAGAAGUUUGAUAGAAAAAGCCGUUUGUACAACAACUCUAAUCAUAGCUCUGAUUGUAAUCCUUGUUUAAUCUCUUAUUGAAUUUAGCUACUUUGCUUCUGCUUA
Molecule: long non-coding RNA, 1508 nt
Organism: Prunus persica (peach)
Lineage: Eukaryota; Viridiplantae; Streptophyta; Magnoliopsida; Rosales; Rosaceae
Exons: 2
Source: RefSeq, a predicted model, not a curated record